UGGGGAAAUGUGAUCUGAGUGUCCCA
RNAcentral lists this non-coding RNA (26 nucleotides) under Homo sapiens (human). Lineage: Eukaryota; Metazoa; Chordata; Mammalia; Primates; Hominidae. The record is from RNAcentral.